Molecule: RNA transcript, 3190 nt
Organism: Mirounga angustirostris (Northern elephant seal)
Lineage: Eukaryota; Metazoa; Chordata; Mammalia; Carnivora; Phocidae
Gene: DMTF1
Gene name: cyclin D binding myb like transcription factor 1
Exons: 21
Source: RefSeq, a predicted model, not a curated record
GCGGUCGUAGCUCCGUUUCCGGUGGCUCGUCGCGCUCGCUCACUCCAGCUGCAGCCACUCUUGCCCGUGGCUGCUUCCUCCAUCCUGGUAUUUUUUGGAGCCUCCAUCCUGGUUCUUCCAAAGUGCCCGGACCCAAAACAGGAAAGUGUUGCAGAGGUAGGAAUAUGGGAGAGAAGCAGUCUGGAUAACAUGAAAGUGAUGCUGGUGUCUAAGGGAAGGCGACUCGAUUCUUUGGGAAGGGCUAUACCUGAUCCAUCUAUUUUCUAGAUUUGAGUAUGAGCACAGUUGAAGAGGAUUCUGACACAGUAACAGUAGAAACUGUGAACUCUGUGACUUUGACUCAGGACACAGACGGGAACCUCAUUCUUCAUUGCCCUCAGAAUGAAGCUGAUGAAAUAGACUCAGAAGAUAGUACUGAACCUCCACAUAAAAGGCUUUGUCUGUCUUCUGAGGAUGAUCAGAGUAUCGAUGGUUCUACUCCUUGCAUAUCAGUUGUUGCACUGCCACUUUCAGAAAAUGAUCAGAGCUUUGAGGUGACCAUGACUGCAACCACAGAAGUGGCAGAUGAUGAGAUUACUGAGGGAACUGUGACACAGAUCCAGAUUCUACAGAAUGAGCAACUAGAUGAAAUAUCUUCCUUGGGUAAUGAGGAAGUUUCAGCAGUUAGCCAAGCAUGGUUUACAACUAAAGAAGAUAAGGAUUCUCUGACCAACAAAGGACAUAAAUGGAAACAGGGGAUGUGGUCUAAGGAAGAAAUUGAUAUUUUGAUGAACAAUAUUGAACGCUAUCUAAAGGCACGCGGAAUAAAAGAUGCUACAGAAAUCAUCUUUGAGAUGUCAAAAGACGAAAGAAAAGAUUUCUACAGGACUAUAGCAUGGGGUCUGAACCGGCCUUUGUUUGCAGUUUAUAGAAGAGUGCUUCGCAUGUAUGAUGACAGAAACCAUGUGGGAAAAUAUACACCUGAAGAAAUUGAAAAGCUCAAGGAGCUCCGGAUAAAGCAUGGCAAUGACUGGGCAACAAUAGGGGCGGCGCUAGGAAGAAGCGCGUCUUCCGUCAAAGAUCGGUGCCGACUGAUGAAGGAUACUUGCAACACAGGGAAGUGGACGGAAGAAGAGGAGAAGAGACUUGCAGAGGUGGUUCAUGAAUUGACAAGCACUGAGCCAGGUGACAUAGUGACACAGGGCGUGUCAUGGGCAGCUGUGGCAGAGCGAGUCGGGACCCGCUCAGAAAAGCAGUGUCGUUCUAAAUGGCUCAACUACCUGAACUGGAAACAGAGUGGAGGUACUGAAUGGACCAAGGAAGAUGAAAUCAAUCUCAUCCUCAGGAUAGCAGAGCUUGAUGUAGCUGAUGAAAAUGACAUCAACUGGGAUCUGUUAGCGGAGGGAUGGAGCAGUGUCCGUUCACCACAAUGGCUUCGAAGUAAAUGGUGGACCAUCAAAAGGCAAAUUGCAAAUCAUAAGGAUGUUUCAUUCCCUGUCUUAAUAAAAGGUCUUAAACAGUUACAUGAGAAUCAAAAAAACAACCCAACGCUUUUGGAGAAUAAAUCAGGAUCUGGAGUUCCAAACAGUAAUUCCAAUUCCAGUGUACAGCAUGUUCAGAUCAGAGUCGCCCGCUUGGAAGACAGUACAGCCAUCUCUCCAAGCCCCAUGACAGCCUUGCAGAUUCCAGUCCAGAUCACCCAUGUCUCUUCAACAGAGUCCCCUGCUGCUACUGUUGACUCGGAAACAAUAACACUAAACAGUGGAACACUACAGGCAUUUGAGAUUCUUCCAUCUUUCCAUUUACAGCCCACUGGCACUCCAGGCACCUACCUGCUUCAGACAAGCUCAAGCCAAGGCCUUCCCCUCACUCUGACAGCUAGUCCCACAGUAACCCUGACGACUGCCGCACCUGCUUCUCCUGAACAGAUCAUUGUUCACGCUUUAUCCCCAGAACAUUUGUUAAACACAAGUGACAACGUCACGGUGCAGUGUCACACACCACGCGUCAUCAUUCAGACUGUUGCCACAGAAGACAUCACUUCUUCCAUAUCCCAAGCAGAACUGACAGUAGACAGUGAUAUUCACUCAUCUGAUUUUCCUGAGCCUCCAGAUGCCCUAGAAGCAGACACUUUCCCAGAUGAAAUUCAUCAGCCUAAGAUUACUGUAGAGCCAUCAUUUAAUGAUGCUCAUGUAUCCAAAUUCAGUGACCAAAAUAGCACAGAACUGAUGAAUAGUGUUAUGGUCAGAGCGGAAGGAAUCUCUGACACCGACCUUAAACAAGAGGAGUCAUCUUCUCCUUUAGCCCGUGCUUAUGUUACUGAGGAUCUAGAGUCUCCUACCAUAGAAGAACAAGUUGAUCAAACAGCCAUUGAUGAUGAAACCAUACUUAUCGUUCCUUCACCACAUGGCUUUAUCCAGGCAUCUGAUGUUAUAGAUACUGAAUCUGUCUUGCCUUUGACAACACUAACAGAUCCCAUACUCCAACAUCAUCGAGAAGAAUCAAAUAUCAUUGGAUCAUCUUUGGGCAGUCCUGUUUCAGAAGACUCAAAGGAUGUUGAGGAUUUGGUCAACUGUCAUUAGGGACUCCGAGACUGGCUUACUGCGCAUCACCAGUCUGAUUUCAGGGUUCAGCAAGAACGCUACAGAGAGGUAAACAGCACUUGCCAGGAGCAAGAGGCAGCUAAAGGAAAGAGGUCCGCGGAGAGGUGCCAGCCUGCACUGGCCUUCCACACAGCAUGGGAAGAAGAGGGAAGGACGCAGGAAAAAUACUUUUGUACAUGGAUCUUUUGCCUCUGGAACCAAAGAUCUGAAUCUCCGGACCCAGUAACAUAUCCCCUACACAGAUCCCACCGCCCCCCAUAUUAGCAGAGUUCAGUGUAUGUACUGUCACCAAAGUCACUCACUUUCUUCUAUCACGCCCAGUCCACAGGUACUACUUCCCCACCCUCUCCAGAGUCCCAGUGAAAAUCAGCAUGCUAAAGGUUCUGACGAGUCCCCCAGAGGAGGAAACUAUUUUGUGCAAAGGACUACGGAAACACCGUAACUAAGAACUCACCUGCUUCAGAAUCGUGCUGUCCACUACGGCGGUAUUAGCUGUUGGUGGUUACUGAGCACCUGGAAUGUGCUCGGCCAAACCCGACACGGGCUCCGAGUGAAAAAUACACGCUGGUUGUCCAAGGCUUAGUCCAGAAAUGUAGAAGUAUUUCGGC